RNAcentral lists this ribosomal RNA (1068 nucleotides) under Triticum aestivum (bread wheat). RNAcentral's name for it is "partial small subunit ribosomal RNA". Lineage: Eukaryota; Viridiplantae; Streptophyta; Magnoliopsida; Poales; Poaceae. The record is from RNAcentral.
AUGACAGAGAAGGAGGAGGCCCGACUCCUUCAACGUGUCAUGGAAGAAUCCAUGAACAUGCACGAUGAGUGCCAAUGGGAGGGCCUGGAGACCAUGAUUGCCCUCUCUGCGGCCGGCGACGUGGCCGAGCCGGAGCUAGAGAUGAUGGAGGAGGUGAAGAAGAAGGUGCUGGAGGAGCAUCCCGUCGCUGCGUUCCACCCGAGCCUGGUGGGCCAGUGGUGGAGCUGGUCGUGCACGGCCACCGACAUGGCCGACGCCGUGAGGGGCGUGAACUGGUGCACUACGCCGCCACGGUCACCGGAGCGUGAGACGUCGCCACGGGGUGAGGUGGUGCAGGCGCCUCGCACCUUUCAGGAGCCUCCCGCCUUCCAGGAACCGGCCCACCUCUGGACGCCGCCGGCCAACAUCGACCUCAUUGCCUCCAACGACGACAACGGCGACGCUCGCGCGUCGGGUGCACCAACACGGCAGUGGUGCCAAGCGAUCAUGGAAGACCUCAUUGCGGCCACAAACAAACGAAAGCAGGUCAAAACGAAUGUCCCGGCGGCGUCCGGGGCACGGAUCCGGGUGAGGCUGCUCGGGGUCUGGUGCGUGGUGGUCAGCCUCGAGUUCGGUGGGCUGCAGGCGGCGCUGUGGUUUGGCUGCGGCAGGGAGGAGGGAGGAUGGCGGCGCGGCGGCGCCGCUCUUGGCGGUGGGCGCGGGGCUGCCAUGACGGCGUGUGGUGUCAUGGUGGUUUUGCUGGUCGUUCACCUACCUACACACACAUACCAAUAUACCAUGGCGCCAUCAGUGGCCUGCUCCUUCUUCUUCGACAAUGAGCUGCUCGGCGAGCCCGGCAUGCCAGCGAUGGACGCGUGCGCGCUCUGCGCCAAGCCGCUGGCGUGCGACCACGACGUCUUCAUGUACAGAGGGGACACGCCCUACUGCAGCGAGGAGUGCCGCCACGAGCAGAUGCACCUCGACGCCGUCUAUGCCAAGCAGGCCGCGCGGAGGCAGCAGCGGUUCUCGGCGGGGACGGAGUCCCACCGUGGGCAGCGGCAGUCCAGCAAGGUGUCCGUCGCGAGCUAA